RNAcentral lists this long non-coding RNA (8018 nucleotides) under Triticum aestivum (bread wheat). RNAcentral describes it as "long non-coding RNA (TAES_LNC007041)". Lineage: Eukaryota; Viridiplantae; Streptophyta; Magnoliopsida; Poales; Poaceae. The record is from RNAcentral.
AACACGAGGAAAUCACGGGGAAGAACGAGAGAGACACUCAAUCGACAAGAGAUCAAUCACACAAGGUCUAGAUCAUCGAAGCACGAGUAACACAUGGUCCAAAAUCAACAAAGGAAAGAUACAAAGGUAGACGUUCUUCUCCGAGAGGAGGUCUUGAAUCCACGAGGGGAUCUUCCUGUAAAGGGGUCUUGAAUCCGAGAGGAUCUUCUCCGAAGAGGCCGCGGUCUCUCGCGAGGAGGAGAUCCGAUGGAUGAGCGAGGCUCUAUCUCAAAAACAAGCUAAAUCAACGCUAAGUCUCAAAGUGAGGAGAUGGGGUCCUCUAUAUAGAGUUGGGGGGCGAAGGGGUACAUGGGCUCAGCCCAACACGCGCGCGCAGGUGCUGGCCGGAUGAUCCGGACGAGGGUCCGGAUGAUCCGGGCUGGUCCGGAUGAUCCGGGUGGAGGCCCGGAUGAGCCGGAUGUCCGGCUGGUUGUUGCGCAGGGCCGGAUGUCCGGCUGGAGGUCCGGAUGUCCGGGCCGAGUCCAGAUGAUCCCGGACGGGGUCCGGAUGAUCCGGCUUCAGGGUGGAGCUUCUGUAGGCUUCGGUCGAUUUAGCCGGAUCGUCCGGACCGGGGUCAGGAUCGUCCGGGCUCUGUCUGGAUCGUUCGGGCCGCCGUCCGGAUCGUCCGGGCCGCCGUCCGGAUCGUCCGGCCACCCUGGUCCUUGGUGCUUUUUCCUCUCCGUCUUCUCGCAUGUCUUCAGCUUCCGCUUCUCCUUGCCUCCUUGCUUCUUCAUGGUUGACUCCUUGGUACCUGAGUAUGCAUAGCGUUUCCGUUUGAGGUAGUAACCAUGUCUCAUGUGAAUCGAAAGGGAAUUGUGAGAGGAGUGAUGUCACCUCGGUUUCAAGAGCUCUUGCACGUGCUCGAGUCAUCGGUCCUUGUGGUGUUGGAGGUGUUGAUGUAGAGUCCAUGGGGAUGAUGGAAGGAUGCUCCGCAUCAUAUCCCCUCCCUUCGAAAGGAUCCGACCUCUGAUCUAGAUCUUCAUCACCAUGGAAAGGCGAGAGGUCUUUGACGUUGAAUGUGUCGCUCACGUUGUACUUGUCGCUUGGUAUGUCGAGCUUGUAGGCGUUGUUGUUGUAGCGUGCAAACACCUUGAAGGGUCCAUCGGCUCGAGGUAGAAGUUUGGACUUGCGUUCAUUGGGGAAGCGUUCCUUGUGAAGGUGUAGCCACACGAGAUCGCCUAUGUUGAAGAUCAUGGGUUGCUUGUUGAUGUUGAGCUUGGUCGCUAGUCGUUGUACUUGGCGCUCGAUGAUGUUUCUUGUAUCUUCAUGCAUCUUCUUGAUGUAGCUUGCACGGGCACUUGCGUCAAGGUUGGUGCGCUCUUGUAGAGGUAGAGGUAGAAUGUCCAAUGGGGACAAUGGGUUGAAGCCGUAGAGGACCUCGAAGGGGGAUUUGCCGGUCGUCGAAUGUCUUGCGCGGUUGUAGGCGUACUCGGAGAUGGGUAGACACGCCUCCCACUCCUUGAUGCUCUUCUUGAUCAACACGUGAAGUAGAGUGGAGAGCGUCCGGUUCGUCACCUCCGUUUGGCCGUCGGUUUGAGGAUGGUAUGCGGAUGAGAACAAGAGCUUGAUUCCGAGCUUGGCACAUAGGGUCUUCCAAAAGUAACUCAAGAACUUGACGUCGCGGUCGGAGACGAUUGUCUUUGGUACUCCAUGGAGGCGCAAGAUUUCCCUACAAAAGAGAUUUGCAAUAUGUGAAGCAUCGUCUACCUUGUUGCAAGGAAUAAAAUGUGCCAUCUUAGAAAAUCUAUCCACAACAACAAACACGGAAUCCUUUCCAUUUUGAGUUCUAGGCAAACCAAGUACAAAGUCCAUGCUAAUGUCUUCCCAAGGUUGAUAUGGAAUUGGAAGAGGCAUGUAAAGACCAUGAGAUUGGGCUUUUGACUUAGCUUUGCGGCAUGUAGAGCAUCGGGUGGUGAAGCGUGAGACGUCUCGAAACAUCUUGGGCCAAAAUUAGUUCUUGGAGAGCGUGGCGAAGGUCUUGUCGCGUCCAAAAUGUCCCAUGAGUCCACCUCCAUGAGCCUCUUGCAGAAGGAGCAAACGAAGAGAAGACUCGGGUAUGCAUAGUUUGUUAGCUCUCAUAAGAUAACCAUCCUUGAGGUAAUAUUGUUCCCAAGAUGUAUGCGUCAAACAUUUAGCAUAAUGAGGUGCAAAAGAUGGAUCACUAGCAUACAAAUCUUUGAUGUGUUCAAAGCCAAUAACAUUCAACUCAAGUUGGGUGACAAGCGUACAUAUGCGAGAAAGUGCAUCGGCAACUACAUUUUCCUUGCCCUUAAUGUACUUGAUCACAUAUGGGAAAGAUUCAAUAAAUUCACUCCAUUUGGCAUGACGCUUGUUCAAUUUAGUUUGACCUUUUAAGUAUUUAAGCGUUUCAUGAUCGGUAUGGAUGACAAACUCAUGAGGUCUAAGAUAAUGUUCCCAAACAUGUAGGACACGCACUAAAGCAUACAAUUCUUUGUCAUAGAUGGGAUAGUUAAGUUGAGCACCGGAGAGUUUUUCACUAAAAUAAGCAAUGGCUCGUUUUUCUUGCAUCAAAACUCCGCCAAUUCCGGUACCACUUGCAUCACAAUGAACCUCAAAAGUUUUGUCAAAAUUGGGCAAAGCAAGAAUCGGAGCGUGAGUAAGCAAAGACUUGAGCUCAUCAAAAGCGUUUGAUUGCAAAGGUCCCCAAACAAAAGGAGUAUUCUUCUUACUCAAAGCAUGCAAAGGAGCUGCAAUAGUGCUAAAGUUUUUCACAAAGCGGCGAUAAAAACCUGCAAGACCAAGGAAACUUCGCACUUGUUGCAAAUUGGUGGGUUGGGGCCAAGUUUUAAUUGCUUUGAUCUUAGUUUCAUCAACAUGGACACCCUUGGAAGAGACAAUGAAACCCAAGAAAACUACUUUGUCAACGCCAAAAGUGCAUUUUUUCAAGUUGGCAUAAAGACUUUCCUUUCGAAGUGUUUGCAAAACAAGCUUAACAUGAUCAAGAUGCUCUUUCAUGGUUUUGCUAAACACAAGAAUAUCAUCGAAGUAAACCACAACAAAGAUUCCAAUGUAUGGUCGAAGUACAUGAUGCAUGAGACGCACAAAAGUUCCGGGUGCUUCCGACAAACCCAUAGGCAUAACCAACCAUUCAUAUAAGCCAAAUUUUGUUUUGAAAGCAGUUUUCCAUUCAUCACCCUCAUGAAUGCGGAUUUGAUAAUAGCCACUUUUUAGAUCAAUUUUUGAGAAAAAGUUGGCUCCACUAAGUUCAUCAAGCAUAUCAUCUAAGCGAGGAAUGGGAUGCCUAUAGCGCACGGUGAUAGCAUUUAUGGGUCUACAAUCGGAACACAAACGAAAGCUUCCAUCGGGCUUAGGCACAAGUAUAACGGGGACGGCACAAGGGCUUAAGCUUUCACGUAAAUGACCGUUGUCGAUUAGUUGUUGUACUUGCUGUUGAAUCUCCUUGGUUUCUUCAGGAUUGACACGGUAUGGAGCUUUGUUUGGAAGUGGCGCUCCGGGAAUGAGGUCGAUUCGAUGCUCAAUGCCUCGUAGAGGAGGUAGACCCGGAGGUAGCUCAUCGGGGAAAACAUCUUGAAAUUCCUGCAAAAGAGAUUGAAACAUCAAAGGUAGUUCGUGAAUGGUGUUAGUUUUUGUAUCUCCAUCCUUGCACACAAGGACAAAGUGCAUCACACUCGAUGGGUUCUCACACACUUCUCUCAUCUCAUGUUUUGUGGCGAAUAGUAUGAGGUUUUUCUCUCUAGGCGAAGAGGCGCUCAAAUUUGGCUUGUGGCUCUCACUCACUUUUUGGUGGCUCACUUUCUCACUCUUCUCUCUUUGGUUGGUGGCUUGUUUGUCGGCUAUCACUUGACUAGGAGACAUGGGUCGUAGGACAUAUUCUUUGCCUUUCAUCUUGAAGCUAUAGUGGUUUGUACGCCCAUUGUGGUAGACACCACGGUCGAAUUGCCAUGGCCGACCAAGGAGGAGGUGGCAAACGGUCAUUGGGACCACAUCACACUCCAAAGUGUCCUCAUAUGCACCUAUUUUGAAGGAUACUUGGACCGUAUGCUCAACUCGUAUAGUGCCGGAGUCACUUAGCCAUUGAACCUUGUAGGGUUGCGGAUGCUUCUUCUUGAUCAAUUGGAGCUUGGAGCAUAGUUCUUCGCUUGCCAAGUUGUGGCAACUACCUCCAUCGAUGAUGACCUUGACGGAUCGUCCAUUGAUGCCGGCCUUUGUGUGGAAGAUGUGGCAUCUUUGGUCUUCUUCUUGUUUAUGUUGAAGUGUCAAGACCUUGGAGACAACAAGAGCGGGGCUUGUAUCUUCAUCACAAAAGACUUGAUCAUCUUCAUCCUCGUUGAUGCGCCGGUGCAUGGCCACUUGCUCAAUAGCUUCCAUUUCAUCUUCACUCAUUGAGUCGUAUGUGCGAUUGUCGUUGAGUAUCAUGGUGCGCUUGUUGGUGCAUUCAUAUGACUUGUGGCCUCGGCCGCCGCAAGUGAAACACUUGAAGGAGCUUGUCUUGACGGUCUCAUCGGUUGGAGUAGAUGAUGAAGCACGCGGCUUGAAGUUGCUUGUAGUAGGAGGAGGACGACUUGAACUUGUGGAAGUUUUCUUGUAACUUGACUUGUCGUCGUUGCUUGGAGAAGGCUUGUUUGAUGUCGAAGUUGGAGUAGUUGUUGAAGCUUGGUUGUUGGAGAAGCCGUAUGUGUUGGAUGAGUACUUGGUGUACUUGAAGUCAUCUUGAACUUGUCGUUCCGCCUUUGUAGCUUGAUGCACAAGCUCAAUGAGGUUGGAGUAGGGUUGGAAGUCGGCGAUCUUCUUGAUGGGAUGGUUGGGUCCAUUCAAGAAUCAUGCCAUUGUUUGCUCAUCAUCCUCCGUGACAUUGGCUCGAAUCAUGGCAAUCUCCAUUUAUUUGUAGUAUUCUUCAACACUCUUUGUUCCUUGCUUGAGGAGUUGUAGCUUCUUGAAGAGAUCACGGUUGUAGUAGGUGGGCACAAAGCGUGCUCGCAUGACAUCCUUCAUUUGAGCCCAAGUGGUGAUUGGAGGAUCGCCUCUUGCUUGUCGGCGCUCAAGUACUUGUUCCCACCAUAUGAGCACAUAGUCUUGGAACUCAAGUGAUGCCAUAGCGAUCUUCUUCUCUUCCUCAUAGUUGUGCAAACGAAAGAUUUUGUCGACCUUCAAUGCCCAUGAGAGGUACUCUUCGGGAUCAUUGCUUCCAUUGGACUUGGGCAUUGUGAACUUGAGCUUGCCAUAGCAUUGCUCUUCAUUGUGUUGUGGUCGAUGGUGAUGAUGAUGCCCUUGUCGUGGAGGGUAAUCAUCCUCAUGUUGCUCUUGGCGAGGAGGAAGUCCAUGAUCAACUUGCUCUUGUUGACCUUGAUGUUGAGGUUGAGCUUGAGGAGCUUGUGGAGGAGCUUUUGGGGCUUGACGUUGCGCACGCGGAUGGUAGUUCCUCUCUUGUAUUUCUUCUCGAAGGGCUUCCUCUUGAUUGCGCCUUUCGCGAUUGCGGUUGGCGAUAGCUCGACUUGAUGCUUGAAGGGCACGUUCCGCCUCAAGAGCUUGUGCUUCUCGUUGUUGUUGUUGAAGACGUUGAGCCUCUGCGUCUUGUUGCUCUUGGUGUAGGCGCGCUCGUUCUUGUUCUUGUUGGUGACGAAGACGUUGUCGUUCUUGAGCUUGAGCAAACGCCACUUGGUUUGAUUGUGGACGAGGAACUUGUUCAUCAACUUGUUCUUGGGAAUGCUUGUCGUGUAGCGGGUUGCGAGAUGCAUGAUGGUCUUGACGCGCGGCUCGUCGAAGAGUGUUCGAUGACGGUGUACUUGUGUCGGAGAAGGAGUCGUCGGAGUGGCGACUUGAGUGGCUCCGUCUUGAGUGUGAGGAAGUAGAAGGACGCCGAUUCACCAACAAGGCGUGGAUCUCGUCCAUUCUUGCAUCGUUCUCUUUCUUGUGCGCGUCGAGUUUGUUGUCGAAGUAGUCUCUUGUACGUUGCUCGGAGAGUCGCAAGUCGGUGGCGAGGUUGUCGAUGCGUUUGCUCAUUGCUUGUUGCUCUUGAUGGAGAGCUCGUUGUGCGCCAAAGAGGUGGCUCUUGGUGACGUAUGAUGACAUGUCGUCGUCUUGCUCGAUGAAGAGUGGAUUUGUAGAAGAACUUGGCCUAUCCAUCAUUUCAAACAAAUUGUGAGUGGUAGAAGGAGAAGAACUAAUACCAAUGUACCUUUGACCGAAGUUGAAGAUGAAUCAAGUUCACUCAAAUGCGGACAAUGAAAUAGCACUAUUGGUACCGAUCCUUGUCGAUUCUCACACCUACACAAGUAAAAGCUUUUGGUGGAGCUUGGUUAGGAUGGUGGCACAAAAUUGAUUGCAAUCGUUAGCUUGACUCAAAAAUGUUGAAGAAGAUUCACAAAUUCGCAUAUGCAACAAGUAGACCAAGCAAGUAGUGGUACACGGAAACACACACGCAAAUAGAUAAAUGGGAUUGUGCAAACCAAAAGUGAGCCAAAAUGUGGAAUCCACGAAAAUGCUCUUGUUGCACAAUACUAGAGAGACGCUAGCACGAUUGCACAAUAGGCGGAUACGGAGCUUGUGCACUACCUACUAGGCAAAAAUGCAACGAUCUCUAUCCCAAGUAUGCUAUAUGUAUGGUAUUUCGGUGCAAUGAUCCAAGAUGAUCUUAUAUGACAAUCUUAAUGUUGUAUGAUGCUAUGCUUGUUGCUUAUAAGCUCUUUGCUUAUCUUUCCUCUUUUCUUAAAAGCUUGAGUGGCUCUUUCUAUUUUGAGCUCUUUUCUUAUGCAAACUUGAAGAACCAAGAUAGCAAUUGUGUAUGCGAUGACAACUUUGUGACACACAAGUUGAUUCCAAGAUAUGCACCACGAUGGUAUGUAUGAUAUGGUGUAUGCAACUAAUGUGCACAAGUCACGUUGCCGGCAAUACUCAAUGGCUAGUCUCGAUGGGUAAGCAACGCAAAAGAUGGUCUAUGAUGGUUAUCAAUGCAAUUGCAAGGUAUGACAAAGAUGUCGUCGAAGUUACCAUCCGUAGCGAAGAUGAGUAGUCGACGAAAAUAAGCGUUUGUAGUUGAUGUCUCACCGCACCUAAAUAGCCGAAACACAAUAGGACACGGAAAUCUCAACUCAAAUUCUCGAACUCAAAUUCGAAUGGUAGUACGGAGGUUGUGUCGUGUGGUUUUGGCAAGUGGAAGUGGUGGUGGUUGGGGUGGGUAGGUGGUAUGUAGGUUUAGGUGGUGGUGGUGGUGGAGGGGGACUGCACAAGUGCAGUUUCGGCAGAGGAAGCCGGAUGAUCCGGGCCAGGAGCCGGAUGAUCCGGGCACGUCCGGAUGAUCCGGGUCGGAGUCCGGAUGAUCCGGGUAGGUCAACCUCGCACGGGAACUGCUCGGGAAGAACACGAAAACGGGGAGAAAUUUGACGAUUUCGGGGAUUUUGGAUGGAUUUCGAGGGGGAGAAGGUGGGGAAAAGCAAGAUCCACGAGUUACACACCGAAUCCACGGAUCAAAAACAACAAAACAUCAUCAAAACCAACAAAUCACAAAAAAAUUUGGGGGGUAUUUUUGUGGGGAUUUUCGGAUUUUAGGACGAAAACAACAAAAUCAAGCUAGAAAACACGGGGUAGGGGCUCCAAAAACAUGAUCAACAUGGCUCAUGAUACCAUAUGAUGUAGGGUGGAACCCUAUAGCAUCGAUCUUUCACGUUUGGAGUGGAUCCUACGGGAGAAACACGAAGAACGCGCGGAAGAACACGAGGAAAUCACGGGGAAGAACGAGAGAGACACUCAAUCGACAAGAGAUCAAUCACACAAGGUCUAGAUCAUCGAAGCACGAGUAACACAUGGUCCAAAAUCAACAAAUGAAAGAUACAAAGGUAGCCGUUCUUCUCCGAGAGGAGGUCUUGAAUCCACGAGGGGAUCUUCCCGUAAAGGGGUCUUGAAUCCGAGAGGAUCUUCUCCGAAGAGGUCGCGGUCUCUCACGAGGAGGAGAUCCGAUGGAUGAGCGAGGCUCUAUCUCAAAAACGAGCUAAAUCAACGCU